Carassius carassius (crucian carp) is the source of this 362-nucleotide long non-coding RNA. RefSeq lists it as uncharacterized. NCBI's taxonomy places the organism in Eukaryota, Metazoa, Chordata, Actinopteri, Cypriniformes, Cyprinidae. The transcript is spliced from 2 exons. The record is from RefSeq and is a predicted model, not a curated record.
CUCUUUCUUCAUAGUGGCACUGCUCUUUAACGGGACCCCUCUGAUCCGUGCACAUGCGUCCAUGAUGUUGCAGUGCUGGACAGGAGCGCGUCUCACCUUGUAGUGACAGAGCCGUGCAGAGGGAAGCUAGCUGCUCUGACGUCCGUUCAUUUCAUGAAAACAAGUCAAGCAGGCGAAAGUAAUCGAAACCAGAGCGACGGCUGGGAUAAGUUGAGCGCAGAGACAAUGAUGGGAGAAUGAGCGUCAUAUUCUUGCGUUCCAAUUUGUUUAAAUAGUAAAAGAAAAACUCAAUGAUAGUGCUUUCAUGACUUUCACAAAUAAACAAUAAUAAUAAAUAAAUAAAUAAAUAAUGGUUCAGAUUA